UCGGAGUCCGAUUUAGCCAUGCUAGUCGCACGGGUUUAGACCCGUGGCGAAUAGCUCCGUAACACGUGGCCAAUCUACCCAACGGACCAGUAUAACCUCGGGAAACUGAGGCUAAUCCUGGAUACUACUCUCACGCUGGAACGCAGAGAGUUGGAAACGUUCCGACGCCGUUGGAUGAGGCUGCGGCCGAUUAGGUAGACGGUGGGGUAACGGCCCACCGUGCCGAUAAUCGGUACGGGUUGUGAGAGCAAGAACCCGGAGACGGAAUCUGAGACAAGAUUCCGGGCCCUACGGGGCGCAGCAGGCGCGAAACCUUUACACUGCACGACAGUGCGAUAGGGGGACUCCGAGUGCGGAGGCAUAGUGCCUUCGCUUUUGUACACCGUAAGGUGGUGCACGAAUAAGAGCUGGGCAAGACCGGUGCCAGCCGCCGCGGUAAUACCGGCAGCUCGAGUGAUGACCGAUUUUAUUGGGCCUAAAGCGUCCGUAGCCGGCCGGGCAAGUUCGUCGGGAAAUCUACCAGCUCAACUGGUAGGCGUCCGGCGAAAACUGCUCGGCUUGGGACAGGGAGACUCAAGAAGUACGUCCGGGGUAGGAGUGAAAUCCCGUAAUCCUGGACGGACUACCGAUGGCGAAAGCAUCUUGAGAGAACU
This 653-nucleotide ribosomal RNA is filed under the name uncultured haloarchaeon. Its description in RNAcentral is "bacterial SSU rRNA". It matches the Rfam family "Archaeal small subunit ribosomal RNA", at positions 33 to 687 of the family's 1478-position model. Lineage: Archaea; Methanobacteriati; Methanobacteriota; Halobacteria; Halobacteriales; Halobacteriaceae. The record is from RNAcentral.